RNA transcript from Cyprinus carpio (common carp), 1232 nucleotides. It is a transcript of the gene named transmembrane protein 238 pseudogene, with no coding region annotated. The record is from RefSeq and is a predicted model, not a curated record. Lineage: Eukaryota; Metazoa; Chordata; Actinopteri; Cypriniformes; Cyprinidae.
UGUGUGACGUUGCAGCAAGUUUGCAGCGCAGGUUGUAAAUCCCGGAAACGGCCAAAAUGUGGAAAAUCCCCAAACGGCCAAAAUGUUUAUCUAAAUGAAAGAGUCUUUCUCGAUAGUUUUGCAAGCUAAUAUAAUUUUCUGUGAUAAAAAGAAGGUUGUUCAUCAUGUCUACACCUGACCGUGUUGGACUGACCCACUGUAAGUGUGUCUUGGUGUUUGCAGUCUUUAUGGAUCUUUUCGGUGUGUCUGCCCUUCUGAUCGGCGUCUUCGUCCCGCUUGAAAUCGGGGGUCGUGACUUUGGUGAUCUGUUGGUGUAUUCGGGAGCUCUGCUGGUGUUGAUGUCUAUGGGGGGCUGGGUCAUGUGGUACAGUGGGAAUAUUGAGGGUUUGAUAUCAGGGAAUGAGCUGACACACAAACGCAAUGCCAUGGACCGGUUCGCUCGCACCCUGAGUCGCCGCAUACGGAAACCCCACCGCAGCCACAGCACAUCCUGACCUCUGACCUCUAGACGUGGCUGAGAGCACACACAAAGGGCUUGGGAUACCACAAAUGAGGCCAAAAUCUAAUUUGGAAACUAAACAAAAUGGAAUGAUAAAGAACGUUUUACAAGGAUGAAGGUUGACGGAUACAGUAUAAUUGUUACAAUGUGGUGUUUACUACUACUACUACUACUACUACUAUGUAUAAAAAAAAGUAUGAAAUUGCAGUUAUUUGGUAAUACCUGUACUGCAGUGCUUUAUACAUUUUGAGAGUUGUACGUAUGAGCUGAUAUUUUUGUACACAUAAUUCUGUAUUUCUUUUUGCAGCAAAGCUUUUUUUGUAAUAUCUUCUGUUGUACAAAACACGGGUGAUUAAAUUUCUAUCACUGAUAAAUUUUUCAUAUUUUAAAAAUAAACAUGUAGCUUUACUGCUUUAUUUAAAUGAUGCUGAAUCACCUUUUAGAUCAAAAUUCAACAAUUUAGAAUUACAGUGAAAAUGCAUUUACAAAGUUGAUCUUCCAGUUAACAAAACAUUAAAGUCACUUUCUCUCUCACUUAUUAAAUAGGUAGAGGCACACAUUCCCCCAUUCAAAAAAUACUGCAAAAAUGCCAUAAAGAAGACUCCAUUCAUUUUACAACAAAGAAACCAACAACCAAAAACAGUAAUAUUAAAAAAUAAAACCUCACCAUAAGCACCAAACCUUAAAAAAAAAAAAAAAAAAAAAAAAAAAAAAGUGUUCAGAUUGAAGUAUA